UUUCCGGUUGAUCCCGCCGGAGGUCACUGCUAUCGGGGUUCGAUUAAGCCAUGCGAGUCGAGAGGGUUCGGCCCUCGGCGUACUGCUCAGUAACACGUGGAUAACUUAACCUGAGGAAGGGGAUAAUCCCGGGAAACUGGGGAUAAUACUCUAUAGAUUACAGGCGCUGGAAUGCCCUGUAAUCGAAAGUUCCGGCGCCUCAGGAUGGAUCUGCGGCCGAUUAGGUAGUUGUUGGGGUAAUGGCCCAACAAGCCAGUGAUCGGUACGGGUUGUGGGAGCAAGAGCCCGGAGUUGGAUUCUGAGACACGAAUCCAGGCCCUACGGGGCGCAGCAGGCGCGAAAACUUUACAAUGCGGGCAACCGUGAUAAGGGAACCUCGAGUGCCUGUAUAUGCAGGCUGUCCAGGUGUCUAAAACACACCUGAAGAAAGGGCCGGGCAAGACCGGUGCCAGCCGCCGCGGUAAUACCGGCGGCUCGAGUGGUGGCCACUUUUAUUGGGCUUAAAGCGUUCGUAGCUGGGUUGUUAAGUCUCUUGGGAAAUCUGGCAGCUUAACUGUCAGGCGUCUAAGGGAUACUGGCAAUCUUGGGACCGGGAGAGGUGAGGGGUACUUCGGGGGUAGGAGUGAAAUCCUGUAAUCCUCGAGGGACCACCUGUGGCGAAGGCGCCUCACCAGAACGGCUUCGACAGUGAGGGACGAAAGCUGGGGGAGCAAACCGGAUUAGAUACCCGGGUAGUCCCAGCCGUAAACGAUGUGCGUUAGGUGUAUCGACGACCACGAGUCGUCGAGGUGCCGAAGGGAAACCGUGAAACGUACCGCCUGGGAAGUACGGUCGCAAGGCUGAAACUUAAAGGAAUUGGCGGGGGAGCACCACAACAGGUGGAGCCUGCGGUUUAAUUGGAGUCAACGCCG
RNAcentral lists this ribosomal RNA (911 nucleotides) under uncultured Methanoculleus sp. RNAcentral's name for it is "bacterial SSU rRNA". It matches the Rfam family "Archaeal small subunit ribosomal RNA", at positions 1 to 920 of the family's 1478-position model. Lineage: Archaea; Methanobacteriati; Methanobacteriota; Methanomicrobia; Methanomicrobiales; Methanomicrobiaceae. The record is from RNAcentral.